GCUGGGUGUGGUGGUGCAUGCCUGUAAUCCCAGCUACUUGGGAGGCUGAGGCAGGAGAAUAGCUUGAACCCAGGAGGCAGAGGUUGCAGUGAGCCAAGAUCACACCAUUGCACUCCAGCCUGGGUAACAGAGCGAGAAUCUGUCUCAA
This is an unclassified non-coding RNA of Papio anubis (olive baboon), 148 nucleotides long. It matches the Rfam family "Metazoan signal recognition particle RNA". Rfam says of the family: The signal recognition particle (SRP) is a universally conserved ribonucleoprotein. It is involved in the co-translational targeting of proteins to membranes. The eukaryotic SRP consists of a 300-nucleotide 7S RNA and six proteins: SRPs 72, 68, 54, 19, 14, and 9. NCBI's taxonomy places the organism in Eukaryota, Metazoa, Chordata, Mammalia, Primates, Cercopithecidae. The record is from Ensembl.